Molecule: ribosomal RNA, 496 nt
Filed under: uncultured Glomeromycotina
Lineage: Eukaryota; Fungi; Glomeromycota
Description: partial small subunit ribosomal RNA
Rfam family: Eukaryotic small subunit ribosomal RNA
Source: RNAcentral
CCAAUAGCGUAUAUUAACGUUGUUGCAGUUAAAAAGCUCGUCGUUGAAUUUUGGGUUUGGCCGAUUGGUCCGUUCUUGUAACGAGUACUGGUCGGUUGGGCCUCACCGCCUGGUGAUGCGUAAUGUCCUUUAUUGGGUGUUGCGAGUAGCCAGGACCUUUACCUUGAAAAAAUUAGAGUGUUUAAAGCAGGCUUAUGCCGGAAUACAUUAGCAUGGAAUAAUAGAAUAGGACGAUGAUUCUAUUUUGUUGGUUUCUAGGAGCAUCGUAAUGAUUAAUAGGGAUAGUUGGGGGCAUUAGUAUUCAAUUGUCAGAGGUGAAAUUCUUGGAUUUAUUGAAGACUAACUACUGCGAAAGCAUUUGCCAAGGAUGUUUUCAUUAAUCAAGAACGAAAGUUAGGGGAUCGAAGACGAUCAGAUACCGUCGUAGUCUUAACCAUAAACUAUGCCGACUAGGGAUCGGGCGAUGUUGUUUCAAUGACUCGCUCGGCACCUUAUG